Molecule: ribosomal RNA, 253 nt
Filed under: uncultured bacterium
Lineage: Bacteria
Description: partial 16S ribosomal RNA
Rfam family: Bacterial small subunit ribosomal RNA
Source: RNAcentral
UACGGAGGAUGCAAGCGUUAUCCGGAUUUAUUGGGUUUAAAGGGUGCGUAGGCGGCUAAGUAAGUCAGGGGUGAAAGCCUGCAGCUUAACUGUAGAAUUGCCAUUGAUACUGUUUAUCUUGAGUACAGCUGAGGUGGGCGGAAUAUGACAUGUAGCGGUGAAAUGCUUAGAUAUGUCAUAGAACACCGAUUGCGAAGGCAGCGCACUAAACUGGCACUGACGCUGAGGCACGAAAGCGUGGGGAGCAAACAGG